GUCCUGCCAAGUGGUCUGCAGCAGUACCUGUAAAACAGAAGACCGUUCAGGCUCUCGUGCACGAUGCGCUCCACCGCUGCAGCCAAAAUCUUCAAGGAGUUCUUCAAGGAAGGUGACCGCACGGAAUGGAUCCGUGAACCUUCGAUCAAUCUCCGUCACCUCAUCAUAAUGAACAAAGGAAAGCAAAUACUUCUGUGUUUUCUUUACUUGACUCUCUCAUGGCAAACUGGCUACGUGACUGCAAGCCCACCUGACCCAAAUCAAGUCGGGAGAUGGAAAAGUAAUACCCGAUGUUCCCCGCCCAAAGGUGGAUGUGCACACCCGACGGACAGGCAAAACUUUCCGUGGUGGUUUGCGCGUCAAGAUGGCAGUGGAUGCUACCGUGUUCAAACGAGUACAUGCCAUGGAAAAGGCUUCCCAACGGAAGGCAUGUGCAGAAAUAGCUGCGGGAUUCGAAAGUAACAUAAAUACAGCCAGCCACCUGCAAAAACAAGAUUCAAUGGAAAAAUCAUCUUUCAUUGCAUAUCAUUUUCCGGUGUUUUUAUGCAGGUACCGCUUACCGUGUCUUUUUUUUUUCUUAAGCUUUACUAGACAAAGCAACACUGACACGCUGACCUUGUUUUCCGUUCGCAUCUGAUUCAAUAGUAAAUAAUUGGAAGAGCUCCUGUGCUCUACACAAGACACCAGGGAAACACACUGUGGACUUCUUAUAAUGCCUUAAAAUACGGAAACAACGAGAAUACCGUAAUCAUUUUACCUCAACUAAGAAGCCCGGAAGAGUACUAUUUAGCUACCUUUCACAUACUAUUCACCAGAUUUCCAGGAAAACUAAGCUCGGUGUAAGAAAAGUUCUUUUUCCCGGAAAACCAACAAAUGCAGCAAAAGAUGGUCGCAUAAUUCCGUCAUCCUCACAUAGUAGAAGCAGUGUUUUUCGACUAAAGCUCUAGCUCAUGCACAAAUUUUUAUUGUUAUAUACGCAAUGUCUAUAGUGUUCCCCCUGUUUUCAGCAAAUUUGAUCUCGUAGUCAUUUAUAAUCCGCCGGCCUCAAUUCUGCACCACAUGAAACACAUGCCUUUGAGGCUCCCGAGCGCAGACAUCCCUAAUUUAUUGCAAAGGCUGCAAUUAUUCUUUCCGUUCUGAACUUAACCUGCAUGUCGUCAAUAAAAUCAUCGUCAGUUUUCACCAA
Non-coding RNA from Dermacentor albipictus, 1186 nucleotides. The record is from RefSeq and is a predicted model, not a curated record. NCBI's taxonomy places the organism in Eukaryota, Metazoa, Arthropoda, Arachnida, Ixodida, Ixodidae.